This is a long non-coding RNA of Numida meleagris (helmeted guineafowl), 1553 nucleotides long. NCBI's taxonomy places the organism in Eukaryota, Metazoa, Chordata, Aves, Galliformes, Numididae. The record is from Ensembl.
GUUUUAUUUUAGCAUCCCCCUAGGUUUCCGAGAGCCUAGGUUGGGUUGGGUCUGAUCUGUCCGUCUGAUGGAAUCCUGAGCUCCCAAAUCUGGAUGAAACUGAUUUCCUGGUCCUGGGCAGGCUCGCAGCAGCGCCUGUUAUAAAAACAAAGGCUGUGCUGAUGGGGGGGGAAUCCCACUACAAAGCAGGGCAUGGGCAUUACUGCUGGGCUGUGGGGUUAGGAGCGCGUUCCACGUGGGGUUUACCAACUCAGCGGUGACCCUCUGGGUCAGCAGUGCUUCAGUGGGAUGUGGUGGCCACGGAGGGAGACGAUUUAGGGGUGGGGUAAAGGAAGCCGUGCAAUUGGAACAGGGCGGGUUGCUGUCAGCGAAAGGCAUGAAGUCAAAAAUAAAUAAAUAAAUGGAAGCCUAAUUGCCAGGGUAAGAAAAUACAGAGGAGGAAAGAGGGAGAUGAAGGGGGAGAACAAGAGCAUCCCCAGUGGCAAAACGGUUAAAAGAGAAGAGUAAAAUCCAGCGCAAAAUCAAGCAGUCAAGUAGUUAAUUGACUUUGCUUUAAUCAGCCCAAUGAAUAUUCAUUAGCGUGCUGGUCCUAAUCACGGGGGCCAUGUUGGCCGCGUUCAGCAGGCGCGCGCCCAGCCCCGUGCAUGCCUCAGCAGCCGCCGUCCGCCCGCACCGCACCGGGGCUGCGGGGAUUGGCCCGCGGCUGCCUCCGGGAUGCCAUAGCAACCCCUGGCCCGUUGCCGUGGCAACAGAGGGGUUUUGUAAGGGCCUGAGCCAGUAAUCCAUAGGCUUAGCGGCGGCAAUGUGUCUUUGUGGGGCGUGCGGGGUGGAUGUAUGGCCGGGAGAUUGGAUGGGCGGGCGGCGUGCGUGGCUCCCAUUGUGUGCCCGCGCCGUGGGAGGGGGCUGCGGGGUCUCCUCCUCCUCCUCGACUCGAGAAGCUGAACAGCCCUGUUCAUUGUUGCUCGGAGCUGUGGUCCCAUAGUGGUGUACGUGGCCGCAGUACUCGGUGGGAUCGUCUGCACCAUCUCCUGGAUGUUCCAGGUGUUGAGGAAGGGCCGAUGCGCUCAGCUGAGAGAAGCAGUCAUCCCCAGCACAACAGAACCCAGUGGCUGCAGGCUACAAAAAUCCCCACAAAGUGGUCCCUGCUGGGAGAAAGAACCCUCAAGACAAAACUCAAGGUGUCUCUAUUCCCUUCUCCAGAAUGAUUCCUGAGCCAGCUUUUCAGCAACACCUGAGAUAUUUCAGGAUAUAGAUUGUGAGUCCUGAAUCUUGCAGUCGAUACCAAUGGGAAAGCCGCCACCAGGGGCCAGAAGCCCAAAGGGCAUCCCCAGUUGCAAGCCUUGCUCUUGAGCUUCUCUUACAUAUCAAGAGAACGCAGAUUCAUACUGAACAGGAGGACAGGAGCCAUGGGGACACGUUGUGCUGAACCCUUGGGCAGUUCUGCAGAAGCUCCUUUUUUCUCAGGCUCCUCCGAAGCCACAGAGCUCCACGUGGUUUUAAGCGCUGUGAUUUUUUUCCGUCAAAAAUAAACUUUGCUCUCAAAAUAAUUAGCA